RNAcentral lists this ribosomal RNA (495 nucleotides) under Ricania marginalis. RNAcentral's name for it is "partial 16S ribosomal RNA". It matches the Rfam family "Bacterial large subunit ribosomal RNA", at positions 1797 to 2567 of the family's 2925-position model. Lineage: Eukaryota; Metazoa; Arthropoda; Insecta; Hemiptera; Ricaniidae. The record is from RNAcentral.
UGCCUGUUUUACAAAAACAUGUCUUUUAGUUUUUUUUAAAGGUUUGACCUGCUCAAUGAUAAUUUAAAUAGCCGCAGUAUUUUAACUGUGCAAAGGUAGCAUAAUAAUUAGUCUUUUAAUUGAGGUCUGGAAUGAAUGGUUGAACGAGAAAUUUACUUUAUUAAUUAAAAUAUUUUGAAUUUAUAAAUUAAGUUAAAAUACUUAAAUUUUUUAGAGGGACGAUAAGACCCUAUAGAUCUUUAAAAUAUUAAUUUUUCUUUCUUUUUGUUGUUUUAUAAAUAGAUUUUUAAUUUUUUUUAGUUGGGGUGAUUAGCAAAAUUUUAAACUUUGUUUUAUUUUUACAUUCAUUUAUGUUUUUUUUGAUCCUUUUUUUUUGAUUAAAAGAUAAAGAUACCUUAGGGAUAACAGCGUUAUUUAUUUGGAGAGUUCUAAUCGAUGAAUAAGUUUGCGACCUCGAUGUUGGAUUAAGUUGUGUUUGUGGGGUAGGUUUUACAA